UCCCGUGUGGCUCAGUUGGUAGAGCAUGGCGUUUGCAGCGCCAGGGGUUGUGGGUUCGAUUCCCACGGGGGAC
This 73-nucleotide transfer RNA is filed under the name Salmo salar (Atlantic salmon). It matches the Rfam family "tRNA". From Rfam's summary of the family: Transfer RNA (tRNA) molecules are approximately 80 nucleotides in length. Their secondary structure includes four short double-helical elements and three loops (D, anti-codon, and T loops). Lineage: Eukaryota; Metazoa; Chordata; Actinopteri; Salmoniformes; Salmonidae. The record is from Rfam by way of RNAcentral.